AGUGAACGCUGGCGGUAGGCCUAACACGUGCAAGUCGAACGGCAGCACAGUAAGAGCUUGCUCUUACGGGUGGCGAGUGGCGGACGGGUGAGGCAUACAUCGGAAUCUACUUUUUCGUGGGGGAUAACGUAGGGAAACUUAUGCUAAUACCGCAUACGACCUGCGGGUGAAAGCAGGGGAUCUUCGGACCUUGCGCGAUUGAAUGAGCCGAUGUCGGAUUAGCUAGUUGGCGGGGUAAAGGCCCACCAAGGCGACGAUCCGUAGCUGGUCUGAGAGGAUGAUCAGCCACACUGGAACUGAGACACGGUCCAGACUCCUACGGGAGGCAGCAGUAGGGAAUAUUGGACAAUGGGCGCAAGCCUGAUCCAGCCAUACCGCGUGAGUGAAGAAGGCCUUCGGAUUGUAAAGCCCUUUUGUUGGGAAAGAAAAGCAGCAGGUUAAUACCCCGCUGUUCUGACGGUACCCAAAGAAUAAGCACCGGCUAACUUCGUG
Molecule: ribosomal RNA, 492 nt
Filed under: uncultured bacterium
Lineage: Bacteria
Description: partial 16S ribosomal RNA
Rfam family: Bacterial small subunit ribosomal RNA
Source: RNAcentral